AUUGAACGCUGGCGGCAGGCUUAACACAUGCAAGUCGAGCGGGGUGAUGGUGCUUGCACUAUCACUUAGCGGCGGACGGGUGAGUAAUGCUUAGGAAUCUGCCUAUUAGUGGGGGACAACAUCUCGAAAGGGAUGCUAAUACCGCAUACGUCCUACGGGAGAAAGCAGGGGAUCACUUGUGACCUUGCGCUAAUAGAUGAGCCUAAGUCGGAUUAGCUAGUUGGUGGGGUAAAGGCCUACCAAGGCGACGAUCUGUAGCGGGUCUGAGAGGAUGAGCCGCCGCACUGGGACUGAGACACGGCCCAGACUCCUACGGGAGGCUGUAGUGGGGAAUAUUGGACAAUGGGGGGAACCCUGAUCCAGCCAUGCCGCGUGUGUGAAGAAGGCCUUGUGGUUGUAAAGCACUUUAAGCAAGGAGGAGGCUCUUUUGGUUAAUACCCAAGAUGAGUGGACGUUACUCGCAGAAUAAGCACCGGCUAAUUCUGUGCCAGCAGCCGCCGCCG
Molecule: ribosomal RNA, 503 nt
Filed under: uncultured bacterium
Lineage: Bacteria
Description: partial 16S ribosomal RNA
Rfam family: Bacterial small subunit ribosomal RNA
Source: RNAcentral